UACGUAGGGGGCAAGCGUUGUCCGGAUUUAUUGGGCGUAAAGAGCGUGUAGGCGGCCAUACAGGUCAGUUGUGAAAACUGGAGGCUUAACCUCCAGACGUCGAUGGAAACCGUAUGGCUAGAGUCCGGAAGAGGAGAGUGGAAUUCCUGGUGUAGCGGUGAAAUGCGCAGAUAUCAGGAAGAACACCCGUGGCGAAGGCGGCUCUCUGGGACGGUACUGUCGCUGAGACGCGAAAGCGUGGGGAGCGAACAGG
RNAcentral lists this ribosomal RNA (253 nucleotides) under uncultured bacterium. RNAcentral's name for it is "partial 16S ribosomal RNA". It matches the Rfam family "Bacterial small subunit ribosomal RNA", at positions 524 to 776 of the family's 1533-position model. The record is from RNAcentral.